This 373-nucleotide ribosomal RNA is filed under the name uncultured organism. RNAcentral's name for it is "partial 16S ribosomal RNA". It matches the Rfam family "Bacterial small subunit ribosomal RNA", at positions 527 to 896 of the family's 1533-position model. The record is from RNAcentral.
GUAGGGGGCAAGCGUUGUCCGGAAUUAUUGGGCGUAAAGCGCGCGCAGGCGGUCUCUUAAGUCUGAUGUGAAAGCCCACGGGCUCAACCGUGGUGGGUCAUUGGAAACUGGGGGACUUGAGUGUAGGAGAGGAAAGUGGAAUUCCACGUGUAGCGGUGAAAUGCGUAGAUAUGUGGAGGAACACCAGUGGCGAAGGCGACUUUCUGGCCUACAACUGACGCUGAGGUGCGAAAGCGCGGGGAGCAAACAGGAUUAGAUACCCUGGUAGUCCACGCCGUAAACGAUGAGUGCUAGGUGUUAGGGGUUUCGAUGCCCUUAGUGCCGAAGUUAACACAUUAAGCACUCCGCCUGGGGAGUACGGCCGCAAAGGCUG